Molecule: ribosomal RNA, 472 nt
Filed under: uncultured bacterium
Lineage: Bacteria
Description: bacterial SSU rRNA
Rfam family: Bacterial small subunit ribosomal RNA
Source: RNAcentral
ACUCCUACGGGAGGCAGCAGUAGGGAAUCUUCCACAAUGGACGAAAGUCUGAUGGAGCAACGCCGCGUGAACGAUGAAGGCCUCGGUCGUAAGUUACUGUUGUAAGGGAAGAACAAGUGCCGCAGGCAAUGGCGGCACCUUGACGGUACCUUGCGAGAAAGCCACGGCUAACUAACGUGCCAGCAGCCGCGGUAAUACGUAGGUGGCAAGCGUUGUCCGGAAUUAUUGGGCGUAAAGCGCGCGCAGGCGGCCUCUUAAGUCUGAUGUGAAAGCCCCGGCUCAACCGGGGGAGGGCCAUUGGAAACUGGGAGGCUUGAGUAUAGGAGAGAAGAGUGGAAUUCCACGUGUAGCGGUGAAAUGCGUAGAGAUGUGGAGGAACACCAGUGGCGAAGGCGACUCUUUGGCCUAUAACUGACGCUGAGGCGCGAAAGCGUGGGGAGCAAACAGGAUUAGAUACCCUGGUAGGAUAGCG